CAGUAGCCGCGGUAAUACGUAGGGUGCAAGCGUUAAUCGGAGUUACUGGGCGUAAAGCGUGCGCAGGCGGUGUUGUAAGACUGAUGUGAAAUCCCCGGGCUCAACCUGGGAACUGCAUUGGUGACUGCAACGCUGGAGUGCGGCAGAGGGGGAUGGAAUUCCGCGUGUAGCAGUGAAAUGCGUAGAUAUGCGGAGGAACACCGAUGGCGAAGGCAAUCCCCUGGGCCUGCACUGACGCUCAUGCACGAAAGCGUGGGGAGCAAACAGGAUUAGAUACCCCAGUAGUCCCUGUCUCUUAUAC
RNAcentral lists this ribosomal RNA (301 nucleotides) under uncultured bacterium. RNAcentral's name for it is "partial 16S ribosomal RNA". It matches the Rfam family "Bacterial small subunit ribosomal RNA", at positions 509 to 807 of the family's 1533-position model. The record is from RNAcentral.